Molecule: unclassified non-coding RNA, 304 nt
Filed under: uncultured fungus
Lineage: Eukaryota; Fungi
Description: partial contains 5.8S ribosomal RNA, internal transcribed spacer 2, and large subunit ribosomal RNA
Source: RNAcentral
AACGUACUGCGCCCCGAUUAACCUCCGGGCACAUUCGGUUGAGUGACAAUUUCAAUUCUGGUUCCUCCGAUUCCAGUGUUACCGGAAGCGCAGAACCGACUUUCGGCGGUUUGAUUCGCAAUCAAUCCGUUCAGAUGCGGCUGCCCCGAUCAAUGCGGCGUGCCCGGAAACCAUAUGAACAGUUUGGUGGAAAGGUACAUAAUGCCGCAAGCGAAGGGCCGCUUACCGUUUUUCGCCUUGGCGCAAGCCGGGUUACAACUUACUAUGUGUCCUCAGCUCGAGUGAGACUACCCGCUGAACUUAA